AGAGGUCGCUACAAUCACGUACACGUUAAACAAGCAUCACAACAACACAGCAGCUACUAGAGAACAUAUAUGGAAGGAAAUAAUGACAGCUGGCAUUGAUUAUUUAUUAGCCUGUUAUUUGCGAUGAUGAUGGUGAUGGCGAUGAAGAUGGUGAUGAAGGUGCGCUGCUGAAGCUGCGUAAAGCACAGGAAGUUGCAUCCUAUACCAAUUUGUGAAGGACCCAUGGAAGCAGCGAGCAGAUGUGACCAGUGUCAUGGAAUAUAAUGAAAGACUUGCUCGCUUUCGUCAAGGUCAUGUCAACCCAUUUGACAGGGGAGAGAAAAACAGCAGCACUGAGGGGAAGAAUCUUCUUAAACAUGAGGUGAGGUCGGAGAUCUUUUCCUCUGAAUCCAAAACUCAGAGUUCAGACCGUGCAAUGGAUCUGGGCUUGGCUGAAGAUCACUUCUCUCGACCUGUGGUAAGCACUUAAUACUUUUAAUUGCUCAGCUGAUAGUGCUUGCAGAUAGGCUUACUAGAAUCUAUAUCCUGCUGAUGGCCAGUAUAAUGCUGAUACAUGCAUAAAACUAUUUAAUACUAGCAAUUGGUAUUUACUCAACAUUGCUGAGAAGUGAGUACUUAUGAAAACAGACAAAAAUGCAUUAUUUUUGACAAAGCUGUUAGUAGAUUAUAGAUCUAGAACUAUUACAUGCUAGAGAAAUGUCACUUCUGUUAACUUCUAUUUAUAUAAAGGGCGGACUGCUCUAACUCUACUGCAUUGGUAUAUGUACAUUUGAUUUGUUAGUUUGCCAUAAAAAGGGCCUCUUUUAGAAGCUCUAUACUGAAAACCCCAUACAAAGUUCAUUGUCAGUAAUAUUUAGAAGGAAGGUGCAAAUCUGACAGAUUAGCAUGCACCUUCAGAAAGGACUUUAUUGUUAAAGGUAGUGAAUAUAGAAAAAAAAUCUGCUUCGUCUUUUUUUUUUUUUUUUUUACCAAAUUUUUGGACGAAAUUUUCUACUAUAUUUUCUGACAAACAAUUCACAAGAUACACUAUAUUGCCAAAAGUAUUGAGACACCCCCCCAAAUCAUUGAAUUCAGGGGUUCCAAUCACUUCCAUGGCCACAGGUGUAUAAAAUCAAGCACCUAGGCUUGCAAACUGCUUCUAC
RNA transcript from Megalobrama amblycephala (Wuchang bream), 1142 nucleotides. It is a transcript of the gene named differentially expressed in FDCP 8-like, with no coding region annotated. The transcript has 4 exons. The record is from RefSeq and is a predicted model, not a curated record. Lineage: Eukaryota; Metazoa; Chordata; Actinopteri; Cypriniformes; Xenocyprididae.